RNAcentral lists this ribosomal RNA (405 nucleotides) under uncultured bacterium. RNAcentral's name for it is "partial 16S ribosomal RNA". It matches the Rfam family "Bacterial small subunit ribosomal RNA", at positions 30 to 526 of the family's 1533-position model. The record is from RNAcentral.
AUUGAACGCUGGCGGCAGGCCUAACACAUGCAAGUCGAACGAGUGGCGGCCGGGUGAGUAAUAUAUCGGAACGUGCCCAGUAGCGGGGGAUAACUACUCGAAAGAGUGGCUAAUAACGCAUCCCAUUGGAACGGCCGAUAGCGGAUUAGGUAGUUGGUGGGGUAAAGGCUCACCAGGGCCACGAUCCGUAGCUGGUUUGAGAGGACGAUCAGCCACACUGGGACUGAGACACGGCCCAGACUCCUACGGGAGGCAGCAGUGGGGAAUUGUGGACAAUGGGGGAAACCCUGAUCCAGCCAUCCCGCGUGUAUGAGAAGGCCUUCGGGUUGUAAAGUACUUUUGGCAGAGAAGCGGUAUCUGCAGAAUAAGCACCGGCUAACUACGUGCCAGCAGCCGCGGUAAUUC